UGCAGUCGAGCGGAACGAGUUAUCUGAACCUUCGGGGAACGAUAACGGCGUCGAGCGGCGGACGGGUGAGUAAUGCCUAGGAAAUUGCCCUGAUGUGGGGGAUAACCAUUGGAAACGAUGGCUAAUACCGCAUGAUGCCUACGGGCCAAAGAGGGGGACCUUCGGGCCUCUCGCGUCAGGAUAUGCCUAGGUGGGAUUAGCUAGUUGGUGAGGUAAGGGCUCACCAAGGCGACGAUCCCUAGCUGGUCUGAGAGGAUGAUCAGCCACACUGGAACUGAGACACGGUCCAGACUCCUACGGGAGGCAGCAGUGGGGAAUAUUGCACAAUGGGCGCAAGCCUGAUGCAGCCAUGCCGCGUGUGUGAAGAAGGCCUUCGGGUUGUAAAGCACUUUCAGUCGUGAGGAAGGUGGUGUAGUUAAUAGCUGCAUUAUUUGACGUUAGCGACAGAAGAAGCACCGGCUAACUCCGUGCCAGCAGCCGCGGUAAUACGGAGGGUGCGAGCGUUAAUCGGAAUUACUGGGCGUAAAGCGCAUGCAGGUGGUUUGUUAAGUCAGAUGUGAAAGCCCGGGGCUCAACCUCGGAAUAGCAUUUGAAACUGGCAGACUAGAGUACUGUAGAGGGGGGUAGAAUUUCAGGUGUAGCGGUGAAAUGCGUAGAGAUCUGAAGGAAUACCGGUGGCGAAGGCGGCCCCCUGGACAGAUACUGACACUCAGAUGCGAAAGCGUGGGGAGCAAACAGGAUUAGAUACCCUGGUAGUCCACGCCGUAAACGAUGUCUACUUGGAGGUUGUGGCCUUGAGCCGUGGCUUUCGGAGCUAACGCGUUAAGUAGACCGCCUGGGGAGUACGGUCGCAAGAUUAAAACUCAAAUGAAUUGACGGGGGCCCGCACAAGCGGUGGAGCAUGUGGUUUAAUUCGAUGCAACGCGAAGAACCUUACCUACUCUUGACAUCCAGAGAACUUUCCAGAGAUGGAUUGGUGCCUUCGGGAACUCUGAGACAGGUGCUGCAUGGCUGUCGUCAGCUCGUGUUGUGAAAUGUUGGGUUAAGUCCCGCAACGAGCGCAACCCUUAUCCUUGUUUGCCAGCGAGUAAUGUCGGGAACUCCAGGG
RNAcentral lists this ribosomal RNA (1108 nucleotides) under Vibrio azureus. RNAcentral describes it as "bacterial SSU rRNA". It matches the Rfam family "Bacterial small subunit ribosomal RNA", at positions 56 to 1145 of the family's 1533-position model. The record is from RNAcentral. Lineage: Bacteria; Pseudomonadati; Pseudomonadota; Gammaproteobacteria; Vibrionales; Vibrionaceae.